GACAGCCAGGAUGUUGGCUUAGAAGCAGCCAUCAUUUAAAGAAAGCGUAAUAGCUCACUGGUCGAGUCGGCCUGCGCGGAAGAUGUAACGGGGCUAAACCAUGCACCGAAGCUGCGGCAGCGACACUCAGGUGUUGUUGGGUAGGGGAGCGUUCUGUAAGCCUGUGAAGGUGGCCUGUGAGGGUUGCUGGAGGUAUCAGAAGUGCGAAUGCUGACAUAAGUAACGAUAAAGCGGGUGAAAAGCCCGCUCGCCGGAAGACCAA
This 262-nucleotide ribosomal RNA is filed under the name Salmonella enterica. RNAcentral describes it as "partial 23S ribosomal RNA". It matches the Rfam family "Bacterial large subunit ribosomal RNA", at positions 1088 to 1348 of the family's 2925-position model. Lineage: Bacteria; Pseudomonadati; Pseudomonadota; Gammaproteobacteria; Enterobacterales; Enterobacteriaceae. The record is from RNAcentral. RNAcentral also lists the same sequence under 2 other names.